This is a non-coding RNA of Hydra vulgaris (swiftwater hydra), 577 nucleotides long. Lineage: Eukaryota; Metazoa; Cnidaria; Hydrozoa; Anthoathecata; Hydridae. The record is from RefSeq and is a predicted model, not a curated record.
UGUUUAAUUAGGUGCAAUCAAAAUGUUAGUGAUAUUGAUUAUUUUUGCAUUUAUUAAAUUAUAUAAAAGAUAUUAAACCCUCACUAACUGAUUUAAUGGUUUGAUGUCGAGACAAUUUUAAAUGGUAACAUAGUAUUCAUGUUAUAUUAUUGUUGUUUAGUCUAUUUAUGUCAUGCCUAAUUAUUAACAUCAAUUAUUUACUAUGAAAUAACAUUGUUUUAGAUUCCCUGCAGGAUGCCUGUUAAAAAAAAAAACUGAAGAAAUUUUUAAAACUAGAUGAUGAUAACUAAAGAAAUUAAAACACCGUUAUUCAUGGUGUCAUAUCGAGGCUUCAGUUCUCCAUGUUUGUUAGUUAUAUGCAAGAUAUGGCAUGGUAUGGCACACUGCAUGUGUAAAAGUGGAUGAAAGCACUAAAGAAAGCGAUAACGAUAAACUUUAAUGCAGAAUUUUGUCAUGCGAUUAUGGUGGCGAUAUGAGAGAACUACUGUGGCAGAAUAUUACUAUCGUAGAACAGUUUUGCAUCAAAUCAUUGUAUAAUAUUAGUUUUUUGUUGCUUAAAAAUGUUGUGAAAUUCAAA